Molecule: RNA transcript, 1272 nt
Organism: Saccostrea echinata
Lineage: Eukaryota; Metazoa; Mollusca; Bivalvia; Ostreida; Ostreidae
Exons: 5
Source: RefSeq, a predicted model, not a curated record
CAUAGGGUAUAUUUAUCAUGUUCAUCAUGAACUUUAGCUUUUGUUUUUACUGAGAGUUUAGAAUUUGUCAUGACUGCAUCCACGUCCAUCAUGGCCCAAGAUGUCUACCUUUGUAACUUCUGUGUCCAAGCUGCCAAGAUCUGCUGCAGAAGUUGUCAGGCUUAUCUGUGUGGGGAGUGUGUUGUAAACCACCUACAGCAACUGACAGAUGAACGACAUGAUAUAGCGCCGUUAAAAAAGAGACGAAGGCGGCAAUGUACGUUACAUCCGGGUCACCGAUGUGAUGCCUUCUGUAAAGAUUGUCAGGUCCAUGUCUGCCUUAGUUGUUUGAUUGGAGGACAUCGACUUCAUGACGUAGAGGAAUACUCAGUUGUUAUCCAGUCAGAAACAAGGAUGGAAGAGGAAGAUGAGGACGAACACGCUAGCGUAGAUGAAGUGAUUACUGAAUCAAAUGCAUGUAGAAAAUGCACUACUUUCAUUCUGCAACCAGUUCUUUCAAUACGCAAAUGUUGUACAUCUUCUGUGGUACAGCUCCAGUGUGAACCGAUGUCCAGAUUGAUUUGUUGUGCACUUUUGUUCACCAUUGGGAUUACUCUCUUACUUAUUGGAUGUAUUCCUUUCCAGCAAGAAUUUUUCUCCUUUCUUCGAGGCCCCCUUCUAUGUUUGGUUUGCCCUUUGUUCUCCCUUACGCCGAUAUUAACCAGGCCUUUCGAAAUCGUCAGAUCUGUCCUUAUUCCUUGCCACUGGUGCUUUUGUGUCAGCCAUUGCUUUCCCGAUUGUACUCACUAAUAAUUCCAAGGAAAUUGCUAUGGCUGCUUCAAAGUCCAUAAUGGCCCAAGAUGUGUACCUUUGUAACUUCUGUGGCCAUGCUGCCGAGAUCUGUUGUAAAAGCUGUCAAGCUUAUCUGUGUGUUCAGUGUGUUUCUGAUCAUUUAAUUGUACUUAAAGACGAACGACAUGACAUAGUGCCAUUCAAAAAACGGAGGAAGAGGAACUGUGAAUUGCAUCCGGGUCAACGCUGUGAGGCUUUUUGUCAGAACUGUGAGAUCCACGUCUGCCUGAGUUGUUUGAUUGGAGAACAUCGACUACAUGACGUAGCGCAAUACCCAGUUGUUAUCCAAUCAGAAACGGAAGACGAGGAAGAGGCUAAUAAAACAAGCUGCGCUAUCUUAUCCCAAGCAUUACGUGGCUGUGCAUCUUCUGCAGUACAUUUCCAGUUAGGACCUAUACCUCGGCUGAUUGUUUGUACUUUUUUGUUCACGAUAGGGUUAGC